UUUCGGUCCCAGUUGCAAACUUGAGUCCCAGCCAGAAAGAUGUUUUUCACGAACUGCAAGGGCUUUUGGGGGACACAGUUUUUUCCAAAUCAAAGAGGAAACCUGGUAGUCUGCUAGGUUCUGCGAAUUCCUAUGCAUCAGAAGCUACAUUCGAAACCAAGCCUUAUAAACUUCACAAGCUAGAGAAUGGACCGUCCACUAGUGUUACUGUCACCAAGGAGGAUGCCCUCAAGUUUUUCAGACAAAAGCAGACGAUCCGAAGGCUUGAGACCUCUGCCGGAAACCUUUACAAGGAGAAGAUCAUUCGGGGAUUUUGUCACUUGUACUCGGGACAGGUAAGCUUAAUUCUU
Homalodisca vitripennis (glassy-winged sharpshooter) is the source of this 350-nucleotide long non-coding RNA. RefSeq lists it as uncharacterized. The transcript has 3 exons. The record is from RefSeq and is a predicted model, not a curated record. NCBI's taxonomy places the organism in Eukaryota, Metazoa, Arthropoda, Insecta, Hemiptera, Cicadellidae.